CAAGGCUUGACAUACAGGGUAAACCGGCGGAAAUGUCGGGUCCGCAAGGGAUCCUGUACAGGUGGUGCAUGGUUGUCGUCAGCUCGUGUCGUGAGAUGUUGGGUUAAGUCCCGCAACGAGCGCAACCCUUGUUCUAUGUUGCCAGCGCGUAAUGGCGGGGACUCAUAGGAGACUGCCGGGGUCAACUCGGAGGAAGGUGGGGAUGACGUCAAAUCAUCAUGCCCCUUAUGUCUUGGGCUUCACGCAUGCUACAAUGGCCAGUACAAAGGGCUGCGAGACCGCAGGGUGGAGCGAAUCCCAAAAAACUGGUCUCAGUUCGGAUUGGGGUCUGCAACUCGACCCCAUGAAGUCGGAGUCGCUAGUAAUCGCAGAUCAGCAACGCUGCGGUGAAUACGUUCCC
This 400-nucleotide ribosomal RNA is filed under the name uncultured bacterium. Its description in RNAcentral is "bacterial SSU rRNA". It matches the Rfam family "Bacterial small subunit ribosomal RNA", at positions 975 to 1375 of the family's 1533-position model. The record is from RNAcentral.